This 447-nucleotide long non-coding RNA is filed under the name Sus scrofa (pig). Its description in RNAcentral is "lncRNA (ENSSSCG00015054574.1)". Lineage: Eukaryota; Metazoa; Chordata; Mammalia; Artiodactyla; Suidae. The record is from RNAcentral.
GCCUGAGGUUCGCCACUCGGCACGGGCUUCCCCGCGCCCGGCCUGGGAUGGAGACCGUGGCGCCCGCGGCCCCCUCUUCUCCCGCAGCUCCGCCCGCAGAGCUCGAUGGCGGCGGCCGCGCGGAGGACCCGCCUCAGGUCUCCCGUGAGAAGGGCAUUUCCCAGGCAGGACUCCUAGGGCAGAUCCAUCGUUCAUGAAGAGCCACCCCUGUGAAAUGUGUGGCCUCACAGACAAUUGGCACUUGGAUGAGCAGCAGCCAACACAUGACAGGCAGAAACUGCACAGAUUUGUAGAAAUGGAAUUGCUGCAAAAAAGUACUGCAUGUUCAUGCUGGAUAUGACAAGCUUCCUUUUCUACAGUUUGUUCCAGUUUGUACUCAAACCAACAGGAAAUCAUGACCGCAGGGAUGUGGCAUUGUGCUCAGGACGAACGAGGGCAGUCUCUUCC